Callithrix jacchus (white-tufted-ear marmoset) is the source of this 1286-nucleotide long non-coding RNA. The record is from Ensembl. NCBI's taxonomy places the organism in Eukaryota, Metazoa, Chordata, Mammalia, Primates, Cebidae.
AAGAUGAUGGGGGGGGGGCGUGCAUAAUGAAAACCCACAACUUGCAACAUUGGAAACAAUGAAAGAUUGAAAACUUUUUCCCCUUAGGGAAGGAAUAAGACAAAGAUGCCUGCUUUUGCCACUUCUACUUAGAAUCAUUCUAGAAAUUCUAGCCAGACCAAUGAGGUCCCCCUUCUCCAGGGCUACUGCAGUUUGCUGGAGGUUCACUCCAGACCCUGUUCACCUGAGUAUCACCCAUGGAGACUGCAGAACAGCAAAGAUUGCUUGUUCCUCUGGAAGCUUUAUCCCAGAGGGGCACCCGCCUGAUGCCAGCUGGAGUUCUUCUGUAUGAGGUUGCAGGUUUUGCAGAGAAAGACCACAGAGGAAAAGUAUCAUUCUCAUCAUGUGACGUCAAGGGUGUACUCUGCCAGUUUUACUCACAACUGUUGAUGUUGACCUUGAUCACCUGGAUUUGGCAGCUUCUGUCAAGUUUCCCCACUGUAAAGUCACACAGAAACAUUCUUGAUUUGGCCAACUCUGCACUGGGAGCUAAGGCGAGCCGACAGAGCAGGUGUCUGCAAUGCAUCAGGCGCAGGCAGGUGCAGCACACAGGCAGCAAGCAUGGCAGAGCAACAUGGGGAAACAGUGACGGCAGCCCCACAGAAGUGCACACAGGUACGGAGAAAUAUGACAGAAACUGGACCUACAUUUCCAUGUAAAGAAACAUUUCAUGGGCUGAAGGAAAGUGAGAGGCCCUUUGGAUCUCAGACCCUCCCUAAUGUCUAAAAUGUGCGGUAACCAGCCAGCCCCAUUUUCCUAAGAUUGUCCCAGUUUUUAGCACCAAAGUUUGGUGUCCUGGGAAACCCCUCAAUCAUGGGGAAACUCACAGGUCUGGCCACCCUAUAUCCCCACCACUUCACAGACUCUGCACCAUGGGGCUGAAAGUUAACUAGCCAUUUACCAUUGGAAGGCCCACCUGUGCUUUUCUUCCCAAUAUUCUUCCACUGCUACUGUUCCUCCUCUUCUAACGUUGAAAAAUAAUUCUCUCUCUGUAUAUCAAAAGUGGCACAGUGAACCUGAAGUCAAAUUCAGAGAGACAAAAAGUGGGAAUGGUAGUUGCCAGGGGCUCAGGGGAGGCAGAAUAAGGAGUUUGUGUUGGAUGGGUGCGGAGCCUCAGUUGGAGAAGAUGAAAAAGUUCUGGAGCUGGAUGGUGGUGAUGGUUGCACAGCAAUGUGAAUGUAUUCAGUAGCACUUUAAAAUGGUAACCAUGGUAAAUUUUAUGUUAUGUAUAUUUUUCCAUAAUAAAA